RNAcentral lists this ribosomal RNA (465 nucleotides) under uncultured bacterium. RNAcentral describes it as "partial 16S ribosomal RNA". It matches the Rfam family "Bacterial small subunit ribosomal RNA", at positions 338 to 795 of the family's 1533-position model. The record is from RNAcentral.
CCUACGGGCGGCAGCAGUGGGGAAUAUUGCGCAAUGGGCGAAAGCCUGACGCAGCGACGCCGCGUGAGGGAUGAAGGUCUUCGGAUCGUAAACCUCUGUCAGCAGGGAAGAACGGUCACUGUGCUAAUCAGCAGUGAAUUGACGGUACCUGCAAAGGAAGCACCGGCUAACUCCGUGCCAGCAGCCGCGGUAAUACGGAGGGUGCGAGCGUUAAUCGGAAUUACUGGGCGUAAAGCGCUCGUAGGCGGUAUGUCAAGUCAAGGGUGAAAUCCCCGCGCUCAACGUGGGAACUGCCUUUGAAACUGGCAAACUGGAGUGUGUGAGAGGAUAGUGGAAGUCCAGGUGUAGGAGUGAAAUGCGUAGAUAUCUGGAGGAACAUCAGUGGCGAAGGCGACUAUCUGGCACAUAACUGACGCUGAGGAGCGAAAGCGUGGGUAGCAAACAGGAUUAGAUACCCUGGUAGUC